CAGUAGCCACGGUAAUACGGAGGGUGCAAGCGUUAAUCGGAAUUACUGGGCGUAAAGCGUGCGUAGGUGGUGGUUUAAGUCCGUUGUGAAAGCCCUGGGCUCAACCUGGGAAUUGCAGUGGAUACUGGGUCACUAGAGUGUGGUAGAGGAUAGUGGAAUUUCCGGUGUAGCAGUGAAAUGCGUAGAGAUCGGAAGGAACAUCUGUGGCGAAGGCGACUAUCUGGGCCAACACUGACACUGAGGCACGAAAGCGUGGGGAGCAAACAGGAUUAGAUACCCCGGUAGUCCCUGUCUCUUAUAC
This 301-nucleotide ribosomal RNA is filed under the name uncultured bacterium. Its description in RNAcentral is "partial 16S ribosomal RNA". It matches the Rfam family "Bacterial small subunit ribosomal RNA", at positions 509 to 807 of the family's 1533-position model. The record is from RNAcentral.